UAAGGAAUAUUGGUCAAUGGGCGCAAGCCUGAACCAGCCAUGCCGCGUGCAGGAAGACGGCCCUAUGGGCUGUAAACUGCUUUUAUCAGGGAAUAAACCCCCGCUCGUGAGCGGGGCUGAAGGUACCUGAAGAAUAAGCAUCGGCUAACUCCGUGCCAGCAGCCGCGGUAAUACGGAGGAUGCAAGCGUUAUCCGGAUUCAUUGGGUUUAAAGGGUGCGCAGGCGGAUUGGUAAGUCAGGGGUGAAAUCCCACAGCUCAACUGUGGAACUGCCUUUGAUACUGUCAGUCUAGAGUAUAGUUGAAGUGGGCGGAAUGUGUCAUGUAGCGGUGAAAUGCUUAGAUAUGACACAGAACACCGAUCGCGAAGGCAGCUCGCUAAGCUAUAACUGACGCUCAUGCACGAAAGCGUGGUGAUCAAACAG
Molecule: ribosomal RNA, 423 nt
Filed under: uncultured bacterium
Lineage: Bacteria
Description: bacterial SSU rRNA
Rfam family: Bacterial small subunit ribosomal RNA
Source: RNAcentral